AAGGCGGUAGUUUAACGGACAAAACCUGUGCAGAAAAAAAUGUUUCAUGUUUGUGGAACACACAGCAACUUUUUAGGAGAAUAGGGAGGCACAGAAUGCAGGUUCAAGUCCUGCCCGCCUUA
RNAcentral lists this transfer RNA (122 nucleotides) under Fusicatenibacter saccharivorans. Its description in RNAcentral is "tRNA-Phe". It matches the Rfam family "tRNA". From Rfam's summary of the family: Transfer RNA (tRNA) molecules are approximately 80 nucleotides in length. Their secondary structure includes four short double-helical elements and three loops (D, anti-codon, and T loops). The record is from RNAcentral. Lineage: Bacteria; Bacillati; Bacillota; Clostridia; Lachnospirales; Lachnospiraceae.